UUCAGUUUUACAGGAUUGUCCUACGGCAGC
This 30-nucleotide non-coding RNA is filed under the name Mus musculus (house mouse). Lineage: Eukaryota; Metazoa; Chordata; Mammalia; Rodentia; Muridae. The record is from RNAcentral.